This 548-nucleotide ribosomal RNA is filed under the name Triticum aestivum (bread wheat). RNAcentral's name for it is "partial small subunit ribosomal RNA". Lineage: Eukaryota; Viridiplantae; Streptophyta; Magnoliopsida; Poales; Poaceae. The record is from RNAcentral.
AGAUUGGUCAUGUGAGAGUUGAGCUUAUUGCAAGCAUGUCUUGAAGAAGAAGAUUGUGUGAUCAUUCAUGUUUACCUUCAAGACAUCAUCCAAAUGAAGAGAGUUGGAAAGAGUCAAGGUUGAUCAAGACUAAGUCAAGAGUGAAUCAACUUGAUCAACUCACAAAGCGUAGAAGAUGUACCGGGAGGGAUCAAGCGAUCCCAUGGUGUGGUAAGCAUUGUCAAUUACGCUUUGUGUACUAACCCAUGAUCUUCGUGAGAGUUCUUUGUGGGGUUAGGUUGCGGUGUGCAAGUUCAAGUGAAGCAUCAUGAAGAGAUCAAAUGCUUGAAGCUUGCCGUCCAUUGUGGUGACAAUGGACUUGUGAAGAUGUUGCGGUGUGCAAGUUCAAGUGAAGCAUCAUGAAGAGAUCAAAUGCUUGAAGCUUGCCGUCCAUUGUGGUGACAAUGGACUUGUGAAGAUGUGCGGAAGAGUGGCUCACCCAUAGUGGAGUAUGGGGAGCAAUCAACUAGUCUUCAUCGAGCCAACGCAACCAAGAAAGGUGGUCCAAC